UACGUAGGUGGCAAGCGUUGUCCGGAAUUACUGGGCGUAAAGGGCGUGUAGGCGGCGAUGUAAGUCAGACGUGAAAACUCCGGGCUUAACUUGGAGAUUGCGUUUGAAACUGGAUGGCUAGAGGAUCGGAGAGGGCAGUGGAAUUCCCAGUGUAGCGGUGAAAUGCGUAGAUAUUGGGAGGAACACCAGUGGCGAAGGCGGCUGCCUGGACGACACCUGACGCUGAGGCGCGAAAGCUAGGGGAGCAAACGGG
This 253-nucleotide ribosomal RNA is filed under the name uncultured bacterium. RNAcentral describes it as "partial 16S ribosomal RNA". It matches the Rfam family "Bacterial small subunit ribosomal RNA", at positions 524 to 776 of the family's 1533-position model. The record is from RNAcentral.